UACGGAGGAUGCAAGCGUUAUCCGGAAUGAUUGGGCGUAAAGCGUCCGCAGGUGGCUGUGUAAGUCUGCUGUUAAAGAGUGAGGCUCAACCUCAUAAAGGCAGUGGAAACUACAUGGCUAGAGUGCGUUCGGGGCAGGGGGAAUUCCUGGUGUAGCGGUGAAAUGCGUAGAGAUCAGGAAGAACACCGGUGGCGAAAGCGCUCUGCUAGGCCGCAACUGACACUGAGGGACGAAAGCUAGGGGAGCGAAUGGG
This 253-nucleotide ribosomal RNA is filed under the name uncultured bacterium. Its description in RNAcentral is "partial 16S ribosomal RNA". It matches the Rfam family "Bacterial small subunit ribosomal RNA", at positions 524 to 776 of the family's 1533-position model. The record is from RNAcentral.